AGGAUGGAUGAAGUGAGUGUUAAAGUUUAGGGUAAAUUGUAUUGUUACUCUCUGAACAUUUAGCGAAGUUUCACUUUACCCCUCGAACUUCUAAAAUGGACAUCUAACCCCCUAAACUCUAUUAUUUCGUUCAUGUUACCCCUUCCGUCAGUUUUCCGUCAAGCUCCGUUAACCGGAAACUGACGGAAAGGAUAAAACGAAUGAAAUAUUAGAGUUUAGGGUGUUAGAUGUCUAUUUUAGGAGUCUGAGGGGUUAAGUGAAACUCGCCAAAAGUUCAGGGGGUAACAAUACAAUUUACCCAAAUUUUUACUAUAAAUUAUUUUUAUAUUUUUAUAUUAAAAAUUUCUAAUUGGCUGAAAUAAAGUACAAAUAUUUUAUUUAAGUGUAUUUUAUAGAACAAUGCUUCUAAAGAUAAAAGGGACAAACGAGUAUUACAGAAAAUUAACUUAGAAUUAAAAUCUCUAUAUUCGAGUGAGGACACUUAUUAUAAAUCAACCAUAUUAGCGAGUAUACCAGGAUAGUAGAGUGUUCGAACAUCGUAGGUAGUUAGUAUCGCUCUUUUUUUAUCUUUAAGCCACUCUAAUUCAUUUCUUUCACUUUUAUUUUAUUACAAUAAAAUGUAGGAUAAAUUAUGGUAUGAUUUAUUUUAGGAUAAUAUAUAUAUAUAUAUUCAAAAUCAAGAAUGAUCACUAACUUGAGGAUUAGUAGUCAAUCCAUAAGUAACAUAUUAUAAUAAAAUAAUUUAUAGUCAAGAGUCCCUUGCGGAGUAAAUUGCACUACUACCUCCUGAACUUUUGGCGAGUUUCACUUAACCUCCCAAACUCUUAAAAUAUACAUCGAACACCCUAAACUCUAAUAUUUCAUUCGUUUUACCCCUUUCGUCAGUUUCCGGUUAACGGAGCUUGACGGAAAACUGACGGAAGGGGUAAUAGAAAGAAAUAUUAGAGUUUAGGAGGUUAGAUGUUCAUUUUAGGAGUUCGAGAGAUAAAGUGAAAAUUCGCCAAAAGUUCAGGGGGUAACAAUGCAAUUUAGUCUAAAUUUUAUAAGAAAUUAAAAUUGUACAUUUUGCUAUGAUUUCAAUUUUUAUACCCGAAUUGUACACGGCGAUUCUUGCUCGUGGUUCGUCCUUGUUCAUAAUAUGCAAAAGAGCGAGACAUUUCGAGUCUAAUUUUCUUAUCCUUUGAGAUGGAGCCGUCACAAGAAUUAAGAUUAGGAUUAGAUCAGGACUCUCGUAUGUCAUAUUUAUAUAUAACUUGAUGUAAAGAUGUUAAAUUACGUCCGUCCAUCAAGAAUGUAUCUGGAUCCAGAUACAUUCUAACCGUUAGAUCUACCAUAUCUUUAUAGAUCGACUUGAAUAUACCGACUGUAUCCAGGGACGGAG
RNAcentral lists this long non-coding RNA (1381 nucleotides) under Ananas comosus (pineapple). RNAcentral's name for it is "long non-coding RNA (ACOM_LNC039640)". Lineage: Eukaryota; Viridiplantae; Streptophyta; Magnoliopsida; Poales; Bromeliaceae. The record is from RNAcentral.